Long non-coding RNA from Dioscorea cayenensis subsp. rotundata (Guinea yam), 555 nucleotides. RefSeq lists it as uncharacterized. NCBI's taxonomy places the organism in Eukaryota, Viridiplantae, Streptophyta, Magnoliopsida, Dioscoreales, Dioscoreaceae. The transcript has 4 exons. The record is from RefSeq and is a predicted model, not a curated record.
CCCCAACCCCCGUGCCCUUUGCCGCCCUCGAGACCUCCCCCUCCAUCGCUCUCCCUCCAUACCCAAUCUCUCUCCCUGGGCCUCUCCCCAAUCGAUCCACCUUUCUUCCGAAGCUCCUCGUUAGGGUACUUGUUCGCCUUCCCUGAGGCUUCGCCACUGUUCCCUCCUGCCAGUCCGUGAUCAACCUGGCGCCUUCUCCAAGCAUUUAAAUAUACAUCAGGUGGUAACUUAUUAAUGAAAAUUUAUAGAAUGUUUACUGGAGUGGCUUAUGGGAUAAAUUAAACAUAAAUCUGAGGACCUCUAGACCUGGUUCGGAUGAGAAUUCAGCACACUUACAGGCUUCAUGGCUCAAAAUUCGUCUCGUCUUCAUCGCUUACUCACAUUAUUGGACACUGGAUCGACUCAGGCAACAAGGCUUGCUGCAGCGCGACAAAUUGGGGAUAUUGCGAAGUUGUACCCUCAGGACUUGAACUCUCUUCUGAAAAAGGUUUCUGGAUACCUACGAAGUAAGAAUUGGGAUACAAGGGUAGCUGCUGCUCUGGCCCGGUGCAUGCA